This is a long non-coding RNA of Ctenopharyngodon idella (grass carp), 217 nucleotides long. RefSeq lists it as uncharacterized. Lineage: Eukaryota; Metazoa; Chordata; Actinopteri; Cypriniformes; Xenocyprididae. The transcript has 3 exons. The record is from RefSeq and is a predicted model, not a curated record.
AGAACCAGUGAGGUUAGUUUUAGUGUGUUACGCAGCACAUUUGAGCUUCUGCAAGAACCAGUGAGGUUAGUUUUGGUGUGUUACGCAGCACAUUUGAGCUUCUGCAAGGACCAGUGAGGUUAGUUUUGGUGUGUUACGCAGCACAUUUGAGCUUCUGCAAGAACCAGUGAGGUUAGUUUUGGUGUGUUACGCAGCACAUUUGAGCUUCUGCAAGGAC